RNAcentral lists this ribosomal RNA (254 nucleotides) under uncultured bacterium. RNAcentral's name for it is "partial 16S ribosomal RNA". It matches the Rfam family "Bacterial small subunit ribosomal RNA", at positions 524 to 776 of the family's 1533-position model. The record is from RNAcentral.
UACGUAGGGUGCGAGCGUUGUCCGGAAUUAUUGGGCGUAAAGAGCUCGUAGGCGGUCUGUCGCGUCGGUCGUGAAAACUUGGGGCUUAACCCUGAGCUUGCGGUCGAUACGGGCAUGACUGGAGUUCGGCAGGGGAGACUGGAAUUCCUGGUGUAGCGGUGAAAUGCGCAGAUAUCAGGAGGAACACCGGUGGCGAAGGCGGGAUCCUGGGCCAGUACUGACGCUGAGGAGCGAAAGCGUGGGGAGCGAACAGG